This 253-nucleotide ribosomal RNA is filed under the name uncultured bacterium. Its description in RNAcentral is "partial 16S ribosomal RNA". It matches the Rfam family "Bacterial small subunit ribosomal RNA", at positions 524 to 776 of the family's 1533-position model. The record is from RNAcentral.
UACAGAGGGUGCGAGCGUUAAUCGGAAUUACUGGGCGUAAAGCGCGCGUAGGCGGCUUUGCAAGUCGGGUGUGAAAUCCCCAGGCUUAACCUGGGAACUGCAUUCGAGACUGCAUUGCUAGAGUAUGGGAGAGGGAAGUGGAAUUUCCGGUGUAGCGGUGAAAUGCGUAGAUAUCGGAAGGAACAUCAGUGGCGAAAGCGACUUCCUGGACCAAUACUGACGCUCAUGUGCGAAAGCGUGGGGUGCAAACAGG